AUGAAUUUUAAACAACUUGAUCAUGGGCAUGUUGCCCAAUCUUGGGAAAGAAUGAAAUUAAUGAUUCGCAAUUGCCCUACUCAUGGUUUGAACUUAUGGAUGAUCAUACAAAAUUUUUAUGCCGGAUUGAAUUUUGCUUCUAGAAAUCUUUUAGAUUCGGCCGCGGGAGGCACUUUUAUGGAAAUCACCUUAGGAGAAGCUACUAAACUCCUUGAUAACAUUAUGGCUAAUUAUUCUCAAUGGCACACCGAAAGAUCCACUAGUAAAAAAGUGCAUGCUAUAGAAGAAAUUAAUGUUUUGAGUGGAAAGACGGAUGAACUUAUGAAAUUGUUUGCUACUAAGAGUGCUCCUAUUGAUCCUAAUGAUAUGCCUUUGUCUACUUUGAUUGAGAAUAAUAAUGAAUCUAUGGAUGUGAAUUUUGUUGGUAGGAAUAAUUUUGGUAACAAUGCUUAUAGAGGAAACUUUAAUCCUAGACCGUUUCCUAGUAAUUCCUCUAAUAAUUAUGGUGAUUCCUACAACAACUCUUAUGGAAAAUUUAAUAAGAUUCCCUCUGAUUUUGAGAAUAGCGUUAAAGAAUUUAUGAUCUCUCAAAAGAAAUUUAAUGUUUUGCUUGAAGAAAAAUUGCUUAAAGUUGAUGAAUUGGCUAGCAACGUUGAUAGACUUUUGCUUGAUGUUGAUUCUUUGAAACUUAGAUAUAUUCCACCUAAGCAUGAUAUCAAUGAGUCUCUCAAAGCCAUGAGAAUUUCCAUUGAUGAUUGCAAACAAAGAACCGCUAGAUUGCAUGCUAAGAAAGAUUGCUUUGUAAAAGUGUGUUCUUCUAGUCACCAUGAAAAUAAUGAUGAAGAUCUAAAAGUUAUUGAUGUAUCCCCUAUUAAAUCCUUGUUUUGCAAUAUGAAUCUUGAUAAUGAUGGGACUGGAGAUGAGUCAGCUUUAGUUAAAAGGCGUCCCAAUAAUUCGGAGUUUUUAGAUCUUGAUGCUAAAUUUGGUAAAAGAGGGAUUGGAGAGGUCAAGACUUUAAAUAGCAUUGAACCCACUAUUAUGGAUUUCAAGGAAUUUAAUUAUGAUAAUUUUUGUUUAAUAGAUUGUAUUUAUUUGUUGCAAUCCGUGUUGAAUUCUCCUCAUGCUUAUAGUCAAAAUAAAGCUUUUAAUUACCAAACAUAUUGUUGA
RNAcentral lists this ribosomal RNA (1167 nucleotides) under Triticum aestivum (bread wheat). RNAcentral describes it as "partial small subunit ribosomal RNA". The record is from RNAcentral. Lineage: Eukaryota; Viridiplantae; Streptophyta; Magnoliopsida; Poales; Poaceae.